UCUGGUGCCGCCGCGGUUGGGGGACACACCCGUUCCCAUCCCGAACACGACGGUUAAGACCUAAGCGGCCGAUGGUACUGCACUGGAGACGGUGUGGGAGAGCAGGUGGCUGCCAGAU
RNAcentral lists this ribosomal RNA (118 nucleotides) under Ruminococcus sp. AM36-2AA. The record is from RNAcentral. Lineage: Bacteria; Bacillati; Bacillota; Clostridia; Eubacteriales; Oscillospiraceae.